GGCCGGUAGCUCAGCCUGGUCAGAGCGCCGGGCUUUUAACCCGGCGGUCGCGGGUUCAAAUCCCGCCCGGCCCGCCAU
Molecule: transfer RNA, 78 nt
Filed under: Pyrococcus yayanosii CH1
Lineage: Archaea; Methanobacteriati; Methanobacteriota; Thermococci; Thermococcales; Thermococcaceae
Description: tRNA-Lys
Rfam family: tRNA
About the family: Transfer RNA (tRNA) molecules are approximately 80 nucleotides in length.
Source: RNAcentral